AUUGAACGCUGGCGGCAUGCUUUACACAUGCAAGUCGAACGGGGUGAGGAGCUUGCUCCUCAUCUAGUGGCGAACGGGUGAGUAAUACAUCGGAACGUACCGUGUAGUGGGGAUAACGUAGCGAAAGUUACGCUAAUACCGCAUACGAUCCACGGAUGAAAGCAGGGGACCUUCGGGCCUUGUGCUAUACGAGCGGCCGAUGUCUGAUUAGCUAGUUGGUGGGGUAAAGGCCCACCAAGGCAACGAUCAGUAGCGGGCCUGAGAGGAUGAUCCGCCACACUGGGACUGAGACACGGCCCAGACUCCUACGGGAGGCAGCAGUGGGGAAUUUUGGACAAUGGGCGCAAGCCUGAUCCAGCCAUGCCGCGUG
RNAcentral lists this ribosomal RNA (370 nucleotides) under uncultured bacterium. Its description in RNAcentral is "bacterial SSU rRNA". It matches the Rfam family "Bacterial small subunit ribosomal RNA", at positions 30 to 403 of the family's 1533-position model. The record is from RNAcentral.